GGUAGGUGUGUGACAAUUGUAGGCUGCCAGUGCUGGAGGAGGAAGAAAUCUGGAGAGGUGGAGGAACUCAGGAGGCGGCAGGUGGAGGUGGUUGGGUUAAAGGGGCAUUUGCAGUGCUACAGAGGAGCAGGAAGGGGCAUCAGAAGGAAUGAAGGGCAAUAUGUGUCAGAGGCAGGUAGGUUCUGGAGAGGGUUGUGUCUUUGAUAAAUGGCUGAAGGAGGUUUAAAGGAAGAGCUGUAGAAGAGGAGGGGUGUGUGUGUGUGUUUGUUUGUUUGUGUGUGUGUGUGUGUGUGUGUGUGUGAGAGAGAGAGAGAGAGAGAGAGAGAGAGAGUGUCCCCCCUGCAGUGAGAUUUCAUAUUUAGGCUAACUGUGGCACCACCUCUGUGACCCUCUCUCCUCCAUAUGCUUCCCUGCUUCUAUUUUGUAGUCACAGAGAGUGGAAAACUGAAUGAGUCACUUCCAUGCAUGGAAGGGAAGGAGGAUCACAUUUGACGUAAUGCCAAAACCUUGCAUAUUCAUACAGAUCCCUAUAGGCACAUGCUCAAUAAUUCGUCACUCCUAUAAUCUCUAAAACCAGGGGAGAUGCAGUGAGGGAAUAUUGCACAUACUGAUGGAUUCAUAUAGGGCUGUUUUUAAAUUGGCUUUUACUGUUGCAAUUUCUUUGAGUCUGACCUGCGCAGGAAAACCGUGUCCUAUGUUUUUCAAAGACACAGAGAUUUGUGCCUUAGUUUAUCGGUUGAGUGCAAUCACUCCCCUAAUUCUCUAUGAACACAUUCAAGGAGCACAACUGUUUCACAUCACAUAUCAUUGCUGGAAGCCUACCAUUUAGACCUCUAUAAACCAAACACGAUGAAUAUAAUGGGCAUUCCCGCAGAGCCAAGGUAAAGUAGUUUAUAUAUGUGUGUGUGUGUGACUGUUGAGAAACGCUCCAAAGAGAUCAUUGAAAUGGGCAGAUGAAUGCCUGGCAUCCUCAUUCAAUACACCUUUUCCCUGCUUCCAGAAGGCCGCUACCAUUUUUUUCACCUAAAGAGCCUCCGAUAAUGGGAAAAACCAUAUCUAUCAAUAGAGAAGCGCGUCUUUGAGCAUGCAACACAACUACCAAAGAUACAACUGAACUCCUCUGCAAAGUAAAGAGGUCAUGUAAGUUAAUUAUGUCAUUUCCUUUCCCAUUUAAUAAGAAAUAAAGUUGCCAUGGAGACUGACUAGAUAUAGAAUCCCACUUUCAUGACUAAAACAACUAUGAGGAGAGAAGUAGGUGGAAGCACAAUGCUUGUUUUGCACAAUGCGACAAAAAGAGAGAGCAACCUCUAGGACCUUUUUCAGAAGGCACAAAGGACAAGGAAGACAUUGGGGUGGGGAGACUUUUCGGCACAUGCAAGAAGUCUAUUAUCUCUGGCUAUACUCAGUCUUACUGUUUCCAGUAUGGAAUGAUAAAUAGUGACAUACUAUCCAAGGCACAUGUUUUAAGAUGUGGGCAGAUAUCAGGGUUUCAGCUAUUUCUCCAUCAAAAAACCCCCUCAUCCAGCUAACCAGUUUAUGUAUUCCCACCUCAGAAAUAUCUCUUGGCUAGUGUUAUGCUGAGAUCUGUCCUCCAAUUUCACAAUGCUUCCAUUUUUUUUUUAUUCCUAAUUCUCAUGGCACAUAGAAUUGUAGAGUUGGAAGGGAACCCGAGGAUCAUCUAGUCCAACCCCCUGCAAUGCAGGAAUCUCAACUACAUCAUACAUGACAGAUGGCCACGCAGUCACUGUUUAAAAACCUCCAAGAGUCCACAUGACGAAUGGCAAUAUCUUCAGUUACAACAUUUGUUGGUGUUUAUUUAUGGACCAUCUGCUUUGAGUGCUUCAGCAUCUCCUAUAUUGUCGGAGGAAAUUAUUGUAUCCUUACAGAAAGUCAAACCCAUAACUGUUGUUUAUAAAUGCUUAAUGGACCUUUGAGGAACUUAGAGAGUUGUUGAAUAGGGAAUUAGAAGUAUUACACAGCUUAAACAAAAUUUGCCUUAGAAUCUUUAUCUUUAGGAUUGAAAUUGGGACUGAUCCAGCAGAAAUUAAUAUCAUGGGUAUAGUGGACUCCACAAGAUCUGUAUAGAAAGGCACUGUCCAUUGCAGAUAGAUUCUGGACAUUAGGGCUGCCAUAAGUGGGUGGCGCUGUGGUCUAAACCACUGAGCCUCUUGGGCCUGCCGAUCAGAAGGUCAGCGGUUCAAAUCCCCACUAUGGGUUGAGCUCCCAUUGCUCUGCCCCAGUUCCUGCCAAUCUAGCAGUUCAAAAGCAUAUCAGUGCAAGAAGAUAAAUAGCGGGAAGGUAAAUGUCAUUUAAGGGACGCGGGUGGUGCUGUGGGGUAAACCACAGAGCCUAGGGCUUGCCGAUCAAAAGGUUGGUGGUUCGAAUCCCCGUGACGGUUUGAGCUUCCAUUGCUCGGUCCCUGCUCCUGCCAACCUAGCAGUUCAAAAGCAUGCAGUACAAGUAGAUAAAUAGGUACUGCUCCGGCGGGAAGGUAAACAGCGUUUCUGUGCACUGCUCUGGUUCGCCAGAAGCGGCUUAGUCAUGCUGGCCACAUGACUGUACGUCGGCUCCCUCGGCCAGUAAAGCGAGAUGAGCACCGCAACCCCGGGUCAUCCGCGACUGGAUCUAAUGGUCAGGGGUCCCUUUACCUUUUAAAUGUUGUUUCCGUGUGCUCUGGCUCUUGUCAUGGUCCUCCGUGAACCAGAAGCAGUUUAGACAUGCUGGCCACAUGACGCAGAAAGCCGUCUGUGGACAAACGCUUGGUCUGAAAGCAAGAUGAGCACCACAACCCCAUAGUUGCCUUUGACUGGACUUAACCAUCAAGGGAUCCUUUACCUUUUUACCUUUUACCUUAUGUGCGGUCAAUUGAAAAACUUUUGGGGUGUCCUGGUUUUUACGUGGCAGGUGUAAUGAUGAAUAUGCCUAAUGGAGCUACAGGAUGAGGGCUAGUCCAGUGAUAUACUGCAUUCUUUUUGGUCUGAAGUGGCUGUCCUUAAGAAAUUUGCAUUGGUGAAAUCCUCUCCUCAAUAUUUGCAGACGCUCAUGAACUUUUAAACUAUAUUCCCACAGUAUGGGGUUUAAUGGCAGGAUAAAAAAGUGGAUUUUGCAAGCCCUUAUGGCCACUAAGAGACUUAUACUUUGAGCCUGGAAUGAUAAACACCUGUCAUCUAUCACACAAUGGCCUGAGGAACUCAAUGCCUUGGAUACAUUUGAACAUAUUUCUUACAGAAAUCCACUGGCAAGAGUUUCUAUUGGGACAACCUUUAUGUUUAACCCAAGAUGGAUGCACUGAUUGUUAUCGCACCCUUAAUGCGAGCCGAUGGUGGUGUUAUUAUUAUUCUUUCUUUUUCUUCCAUUCAUUCUCUUUCCUGUUCAUUUUUAAUCCCUUUCCCCUUUUUCUUCCCCCUUUGUUAAAUUUGCAAAUAAUAAUAAAAAAAGAAAUUAAAAAAACCAAAACAGAAAGAAAAUGCAGAGGAUUUGGGCGUAUGUGCACACUAGAGUAGAGCUCAUUUAACUGCGGGCCUUUGACAAUAAAGUAAUUGAAAUUAUUUUAAUUCUUAUCAUUCGUGUCAUAGAGGGAGUCAAACGUGCUUUUUUCAUUAAAAUACGUGAAUGAUUAAAUGGACUAAUCUAU
RNAcentral lists this long non-coding RNA (3634 nucleotides) under Podarcis lilfordi (Lilford's wall lizard). The record is from RNAcentral. Lineage: Eukaryota; Metazoa; Chordata; Lepidosauria; Squamata; Lacertidae.